This 971-nucleotide long non-coding RNA is filed under the name Vulpes vulpes (red fox). Its description in RNAcentral is "lncRNA (ENSVVUG00000007097.1)". Lineage: Eukaryota; Metazoa; Chordata; Mammalia; Carnivora; Canidae. The record is from RNAcentral.
AUGUAUGAAAGCUACUACUAGUGGUGACAACAGUAAGAACACUACCAUAAGAGCAACAACAAAACUAUGGAGUCUUUAUUAUAAGAAUAUUUCUGUGACUGUUUUGAUGAGUACAACAACUUGCUGAGUUAACAACUACUAAUAACCUUCAUUUCCUUUCCAAAAGAAGAAAGUUCAGAGAGACUGACUAAACUUUUCAAGUUCUCCCAGUUUAUAUCCAUCAAGGCAUCAUGAAUACAGUAAAAUUAAAUGUGCCGUCACUUGCUUGGCUGCUCCCGUCGUCUGUUGCCAGGGUCAUGCACCUUGAGGCAGACAGCUGGGCCUCCUUGAUGGAAGAUUCCCACCUCUAUAAUUCACCUAGACCUCUCUAAUUCACUCCCACCCAUCAUCUGCCAGAGAAAUAUCACUGACCUUUACCUCUACCACCUCCCUCAAUAAUAAAGCUUUUGAAGAGGUUAAAACAAAAUGCUUCGGCCAGAAUUUCUCAACUGUGAAACUUUUAACUAAGUCAAACUCACGGACAGAAUGGAAUGGAGAUAAGAUAUGACUCAAAAGAAAUUGAGACACAUGAAAAUUUCUCCCAACUCCUCUUUCAUCCUGUUGUCAGCUGGUGGAGCUUAAGAGAGAACACACAGCAACCCAUGAAAGACCUCAUAGUCAUUUGUCUUUUUCUGGAGUAUGUGAAUGCAUUGGUGGGAAGCCACCAGCGUCAUUUGGACAAGAAAGUGAAAGGAUCAACUCUACAUAUUAGAAUAAUCUCUGGUUACCAGAGGGGAGAUGAUUGGGGGAUGGGGUAAGUAGGUGAUAGAGCUUAAGAUGUGCACCUGUUGUGAUAUGCACUGGGUAUUGUAUAGAAAUGCUGAAUUACUAUAUUGCACAUCUGUAACUAAUAUUACACUAGAUGUUACCUAAGUGGAAUUUAAAUGCAAGCUAUAAAUAAAUAUAUACAUACACAGAAAAAAAAAAUAAGA